RNAcentral lists this ribosomal RNA (492 nucleotides) under uncultured bacterium. RNAcentral describes it as "partial 16S ribosomal RNA". It matches the Rfam family "Bacterial small subunit ribosomal RNA", at positions 30 to 507 of the family's 1533-position model. The record is from RNAcentral.
AGUGAACGCUGGCGGUAGGCCUAACACAUGCAAGUCGAACGGCAGCACAGUAAGAGCUUGCUCUUACGGGUGGCGAGUGGCGGACGGGUGAGGAAUACAUCGGAAUCUACUUUUUCGUGGGGGAUAACGUAGGGAAACUUACUCUAAUACCGCAUACGACCUACGGGUGAAAGCAGGGGAUCUUCGGACCUUGCGCGAUUGAAUGAGCCGAUGUGGGAUUAGCUAGUUGGCGGGGUAAAGGCCCACCCAGGCGACGAUCCGUAGCUGGUGUGAGAGGAUGGUAGCCGACCUUGGAGGUGAGACACGGUCCAGAGUCCUACGGGAGGCAGCAGACGGGAAUAGUGGGCAAUGGGCGCAAGCCUGGUCCAGCGAGCCCGCGUGGGUGGAGGAGGCGUUGGGGGCGUAAAGCCGGUUUGUUGGUAAAGAACAGCAGCAGGUUAAUACCACGCGGUUCUGACGGUAACCAAUGAAGAAGCACCGGCUAACUUCGUG